ACGGGGUGCAGCAGGCGCGAAAACUUUGCAAUGCACGAAAGUGUGACAAGGGAAUCCUAAGUGCUCUGCUUUCAGCAGGGCUUUUGCCAAAUGUAAAAAGUUUGGAGAAUAAGUGGUGGGCAAGACUGGUGCCAGCCGCCGCGGUAACACCAGCGUCCACGAGUGGCAACCGUUUUUAUUGGGCCUAUAGCGUCCGUAGCCGGUUUGGUAGAUUCUUUGUGAAAUUGUCAGGCUUAACCUGCCAACGCGCAGAGGAGACCGCCAGACUUGGAACCGGGAGGGGUUAGAGGUAUUCUUGGGGGAGCGGUAAAAUGUUAUAAUCCCAAGAGGACCACCUGUGGCGAAGGCGUCUAACCAGAACGGAUUUGACGGUGAGGGACGAAAGCUAGGGGAGCAAUCCGGAUUAGAUACCCGAGUAGUCCUAGCUGUAAACGCUGCGAGCUAGGUGUUGCGUAUUCCUAGAGAAUGCGCAGUGUCGGAGCGAAGGUGUUAAGCUCGCCGCCUGGGAAGUAUGGUCGCAAGACUGAAACUUAAAGGAAUUGGCGGGGGAGCAC
RNAcentral lists this ribosomal RNA (554 nucleotides) under uncultured methanogenic archaeon. RNAcentral describes it as "bacterial SSU rRNA". It matches the Rfam family "Archaeal small subunit ribosomal RNA", at positions 325 to 879 of the family's 1478-position model. The record is from RNAcentral. Lineage: Archaea; Methanobacteriati; Methanobacteriota.